This is a long non-coding RNA of Cydia pomonella (codling moth), 749 nucleotides long. RefSeq lists it as uncharacterized. The transcript is spliced from 3 exons. Lineage: Eukaryota; Metazoa; Arthropoda; Insecta; Lepidoptera; Tortricidae. The record is from RefSeq and is a predicted model, not a curated record.
ACACUAUACGCGCACAAACGCGCGCCGCUUAAGCUAGAGAUGUGAUAGCGAACGCGAAAUAGAAACUCAGUUGAGUUAGCGUUCCACCGCGACCGGUCGCCUCUCGAAUCGACUGAUUAGUGCAACGAAGGAAGUGCCUUUAGUGGAGUGUCAAAGUGUAUUUUUGGAAGUUUUUGGAAGUUUUACCAAACAAGUGCCUAGUAGUGUGUAUAUUUUUUAAGUGUUGACUGAAAAUAUAUCGUUUCACUAUGGAAUUAAGAAGAUUGGCCUUAUGCCUGGCGUUCCUGUUGGUCGCAGUUAUCUCACAUAGUUCAGGUACUGUCCCGGUGAUUUCCCGAAUCAUGGUCACCCGAACCUUAUUUAACACCAUUCGUCACGCACCACGCAUCAAGGUGUGGUCACCCAAAAUGUAUGGACUAAUAUUUCUCCAAAACACAGUGCACUUAAAAUCAAAUGCAUUUCAAAAUGAACCCUACUGCAGUUACACUGGAUUUGAAAUAAAUUGUCAUAAGUUCGGUUUGUACUGUUUUGAAUUUUGAAAUUUAUUUUUAUUUCAUUUUAUGAAUCAUUUUAAGGUUUAUUUAGUAUUUAAUGUUACCUACCUAUACAAUUUUGACCCUUCUGACGCGUUCAAAAAAAUCUGGACAUCAACUCUUCAAUUACAUAAAUGUAAACGGACAAGAGCUAGAGUCAGACCAAGCUAACUUGGCAGUGAUUUUCGACGUCAUAAUUGAAUAGAAGUUUGACGU